This 627-nucleotide ribosomal RNA is filed under the name uncultured bacterium. Its description in RNAcentral is "bacterial SSU rRNA". The stretch from base 1 to 539 matches the Rfam family "Bacterial small subunit ribosomal RNA", at positions 338 to 873 of the family's 1533-position model. The record is from RNAcentral.
CCUACGGGAGGCAGCAGUGGGGAAUUUUGGACAAUGGGCGCAAGCCUGAUCCAGCAAUGCCGCGUGAGUGAAGAAGGCCUUCGGGUUGUAAAGCUCUUUUGUCAGGGAAGAAACGGUCUACUCUAAUACAGUGGGCUAAUGACGGUACCUGAAGAAUAAGCACCGGCUAACUACGUGCCAGCAGCCGCGGUAAUACGUAGGGUGCAAGCGUUAAUCGGAAUUACUGGGCGUAAAGCGUGCGCAGGCGGUUAUAUAAGUCAGAUGUGAAAUCCCCGGGCUCAACCUGGGAACUGCAUUUGAGACUGUAUGGCUAGAGUGUGUCAGAGGGGGGUAGAAUUCCACGUGUAGCAGUGAAAUGCGUAGAUAUGUGGAGGAAUACCGAUGGCGAAGGCAGCCCCCUGGGAUAACACUGACGCUCAUGCACGAAAGCGUGGGGAGCAAACAGGACUAGAUACCCUGGUAGUCCACGCCCUAAACGAUGUCUACUAGUUGUCGGACUUAUUGUCUUGUACGUACAGCGUACGACGUGAGUAGACGCCGCGGGUAAGGUACGGUCGUUCGAGAGUUAAACGUUACGUAAGAAGUUAGAGGCGNGAGACGNGCGACGGACGACGACGAGGGAGGAGG